Molecule: ribosomal RNA, 554 nt
Filed under: uncultured bacterium
Lineage: Bacteria
Description: partial 16S ribosomal RNA
Rfam family: Bacterial small subunit ribosomal RNA
Source: RNAcentral
UAGGGAAUCUUCCACAAUGGACGAAAGUCUGAUGGAGCAACGCCGCGUGAGUGAUGAAGGGUUUCGGCUCGUAAAACUCUGUUGUUGGAGAAGAACGGGUGUCAGAGUAACUGUUGACAUCGUGACGGUAUCCAACCAGAAAGCCACGGCUAACUACGUGCCAGCAGCCGCGGUAAUACGUAGGUGGCAAGCGUUGUCCGGAUUUAUUGGGCGUAAAGCGAGCGCAGGCGGUUUUUUAGGUCUGAUGUGAAAGCCUUCGGCUUAACCGGAGAAGUGCAUCGGAAACCGGGAGACUUGAGUGCAGAAGAGGACAGUGGAACUCCAUGUGUAGCGGUGAAAUGCGUAGAUAUAUGGAAGAACACCAGUGGCGAAGGCGGCUGUCUGGUCUGCAACUGACGCUGAGGCUCGAAAGCAUGGGUAGCGAACAGGAUUAGAUACCCUGGUAGUCCAUGCCGUAAACGAUGAGUGCUAAGUGUUGGAGGGUUUUCCGCCCUUCAGUGCUGCAGCUAACGCAUUAAGCACUCCGCCUGGGGGAGUACGACCGCAAGGUUGAA